RNAcentral lists this ribosomal RNA (348 nucleotides) under Triticum aestivum (bread wheat). RNAcentral's name for it is "partial small subunit ribosomal RNA". The record is from RNAcentral. Lineage: Eukaryota; Viridiplantae; Streptophyta; Magnoliopsida; Poales; Poaceae.
AUGGUGCACCCCUGCAGGGAAGAUUAUCUAUUAAUAGCCGUGUCCACGGUAACAGACGUUCAGACUUAUAUCCUGAUCUUAUACAACUACAAAUGGAUACUUGAGAUAUGUGGCUCCGGGAUUGCUUUCUCGCAGGGAGUCGAGGAAGGAUCUCUGGCCAUUAAUGUUACAACAUGUUUGUUAAAUAUAAACUGCUAUUCUUUACUCUUCUACAUGCUGCAAGAUGCUUGGAGCUGCUUGAAGAUGCUAGUCUUCGAUAGGCUAGGCCUUCCCCCUCUAUUCUGGCAUUCUGCAGUUCAGUCCACAGAUACAAACCUUCCAUUUGAUACCAAUGCAUACUUAGUAUAG